This 492-nucleotide ribosomal RNA is filed under the name uncultured bacterium. RNAcentral describes it as "partial 16S ribosomal RNA". It matches the Rfam family "Bacterial small subunit ribosomal RNA", at positions 29 to 507 of the family's 1533-position model. The record is from RNAcentral.
AGUGAACGCUGGCGGUAGGCCUAACACAUGCAAGUCGAACGGCAGCACAGUAAGAGCUUGCUCUUACGGGAGACGAGUGGCGGAUGGGUGCGGAAUACAUCGGAAUCUACUUAUUCGUGGGGGAUUACGUAGGGCAACUUACGCUAAUACCGCAAACGACCUACGGGUGAAAGCAGGGGAUCUUCGGACCUUGCGCGAUUGAAUGAGCCGAUGUCGGAUUAGCUAGUUGGCGGAGUAAAGGCCCACCAAGGCGACGAUCCGUAGCUGGUCUGAGAGGAUGAUCAGCCACACUGGAACUGAGACACGGUCCAGACUCCUACGGGAGGCAGCAGUGGGGAAUAUUGGACAAUGGGCGCAAGCCUGAUCCAGCCAUACCGCGUGGGUGAAGAAGGCCUUCGGGUUGUAAAGCCCUUUUGUUGGGAAAGAAAAGCAGCAGGUUAAUACCCCGCUGUUCUGACGGUACCCAAAGAAUAAGCACCGGCUAACUUCGUG